RNAcentral lists this long non-coding RNA (20879 nucleotides) under Coffea arabica (coffee). Its description in RNAcentral is "long non-coding RNA (CARA_LNC004105)". The record is from RNAcentral. Lineage: Eukaryota; Viridiplantae; Streptophyta; Magnoliopsida; Gentianales; Rubiaceae.
GGAGGGUCAAAAUAUCUCUUCAAAGCUUAAUUGAUGCCAAUCACAUUAAUUGUGAUGCCCAAUAAGGAUUCUUUGAAGAGGUCACGCAUAAUGCAAAAAUAUGAGACUCUAAGAAAAGAAAAGGAAUAAAAUAAUUAUAUAAAUACAAAUAUACAUGACCUAAAGGAAUGCAUCAUGUCGGGUACGGGGAACUAAUGUUCGUGACUCAAUUUUCCCUUUAAUAGAGGGAAUACGAACAUGCUAAGGUUAGAGAGCCAAACUCGUCCAUAUCUCAUACUCAAGGGGUAAUUUCCCUAUCUAAUCAAGCAAACGUACUACCCUAAUUCUAAUUUUCCCUAUAUGAAAUGCAAAUCUAAUGUCAUGUCUCAUGCAUAGGAUUAUAUAAAGGAAAAUAUAAAAUAGGGGAUAUGGAUAUAAGAGGGAAUAUGGGAUAAGGGAUGUGUGUGUAAAGGGAAUAUGGGAAAAAUUACGUAUAUAUAAAGGGAAGUAUGGGAUAAAGGUUAUAUUAUAAAGGGAACAUGGAAAAAAAUUGAUAAAAGACCCUAGAAAAUGAAAAAUAUGAAAUGAAAUGAUUUUAUCAUACAAUCAUGAUCUAACGCUCGAAGGGCUCCUAAGGGUCUAGCGUUGGACUAGCCUAUAUUUCUACUUCCUCACUAGCGUUGGACUACUGAAAAAUCGAACAAGGAAACCACAACUAGCGUUGAACUAGUAUAGCAUCGGGAAAUGAAUCACUACUAGCGUUGGACUAGUGUGAUAUUACAUCAUACAUUAAUUAUAACUAAACCAAUAAUAUAAAGCAAGUAAACACAUAAUAUCACAUAAACAUAUAACACGUAAUCAUGAUAUCUAAAUGCGAGACCCUAAGAAAGCGGAUAACACGUAACACAUAAGCAUGCAAGACAUACUAGGCAAAUAAAGCAAACAAGCCCUAACUAUUAUAUUGGGAAGGGCCCUACUACAAUCUAAAAAGGGAAAUAAAAUAAAUAAUUAAAAGAAAUACCUACCUAUUACAAUUGUGGCAUUUAAUUGCCUUCCCAAAUAAUUACAAAUUAAAAUUAAAUAAAUAUUAAAAAAAUUGGAAUAAAUAAAGCAUAUAAAGAAAUGAAAUAAAACAUUCAAAAGGCAUGUAAUUAAACACAUAAUGUCACAUAAGUGCACAUAGGGUCAAGUAAAUUAGAAAUAAGGGAUAGAGUGUACCUCCCUUGAGUUGGGGCCUUAAUGACACGAAUUUACUAUUUACCCUCCAAAAUAACAAAAAGGGUCAAGGCACCACUUUAAUUAACAAUAAAUGAAAUAAAAACUAAACACGAAAUGAAAAUUUAAACACAAAAUGGAAUCACUUAAGGUAUUCACAUAAAAUAAACCAUUCAAGUAUUAAAGCAAACAAAGUCCUAAGUAGAAAGUUUUAAAAGUUAAAAAUGAAAUACUAAAAUUGAUGGCUUAAGAUGAGACUUAUCAAAAUCAAAUGCUAAAAUUCACGAAAAUAAAUCAAAAAUCACUUGUUGCAAUUAAACAACAAAAUACUCAAAAAUUUCACUAAAACCCAAAUCAAAAUCAUAAAUCCCUCAAAAAUUAUUAAACCUCAAAAUUUCAUUCUAAAAUCCACUAAGAAAUUUAUCCAAACGGUAUGUUAAAAUGUACUAAAGGAAAAUUGGAAUUCAAAAGGACAAGGUUGAUCAAAUUUCGAAUUAUUUUGGUCAUGAUAACAUCACUUUAAGACAACAGGGAGCAAAGUGCAAUUCUUGGAAGGUUUUCAUGCAACAUGCAUGCAAAUGCUACGAAGGAAACAAGUUUCUGCAACAAAAAACUUUCAACUACUCAUGAAGCUUUCGGCAAUGUUCUGCUGCAUAUCUGCAGCAUCAAACCACGCGAAUGAAUUGCCCAAAAAAUGCACAAAAACUCAUUUUUUAUCAACCUAACUCACACACACGUCUCCACUCAUCCAUCAACUGAGAAGAUCCAGGCCAGGAAAGCGAGGAAACACAAGAAAUGCAACAAAACACUUAGCAGCUUUUCGCACCGAGAGUCUCCAGAAAUAAUCCAAGUACAAACCGAAAGGACAUGAAAUCCAAGCCAAAUUUGUGCAGCUGAUGCCUUUUUUAUUUCGAAAACUAACGCCCAAGAUACACAAGACAGAAAAAAGGCAAGAGAAUCAUCAAAGAGCAAACAUGAUAAAGCUGUGGAACAAGCUCAGCAAACCAGCGGCCAAAAGGUUUGACAGUUCAUGCAUCUUCUUAGCAGGAACUUCCUUUUCUUUCGCUGGUUUCUUGAGCUACAAUUUCUGGGUUUUUGAAUGCAAUCAUUUCCAUCUAAACAUUGCUAACGACUCAACCAACAACAGCUUGGGCCAAAGUAACAAAUUCACCAAGCAUUCUCUCCACUUUGUGACCCCAAAAACUGAAAAUUUCAUAGAAGAAAAAACAGGCAUGCGAAAUCUGGAAAUUUCUGCAACUUUCAACCAUGGCAUUCUUCCAUUUCAUCACGCAAACAAGUCCAACGAAUAUCAAAAUUUUGGGUCAAAACAAACGAACGAUACAAGUCUCAAUCAUCAUCUAAACCAAAUACUAUGUUUUGUUGCAGGAUUAAAGCAGAAAACCUGGGUUGACCGACAGUAAAAGAAAGAGAAAAAAAUGCAGCAGUUUUAACAAGAAAUCCAAUCCCAAGUACUUGUCAAAUUCCUAAACCCAUCACCAAGAUGUGGUGCUAAACAUCUAAAAGGAAAAAUCUGAAUUGAGGGACUUGCAGGAACCCAGAUUCAUUCAUUGGUUUCAAGUUCUGGGUUUUCAUGUCAAAAUCAAACAAGCACCAAACUCUCAAGACAAAACAACAAUCAAACCCAAAUCUUGUACUUUGCCCGCCUUAGAAUUCGUCAGACCCAAAUUACACACACAAACGAGAACCAAAAUGCAACCUUUAGUUUAUUAACUAUACAUACUUCAUAUACACAAGAAGUGAGAUGAUUGCAUAUGCUGAUUACUAAACACAAGAGAUGUUCAUGACUUCUAAAUUGGAUUCACAGUUUCGGAUACUCGUUAAAUGGACAAAGAAGCCGACACCAAGCCUAUCAAUUAGCGCAACAACAUCACAAAGUAUAAUCACAGUCAUUGUCAACCACAGUCAUGAUCAUUCAUUCGAAAAAAAUGCAGCCUAGACGAAGCUUUUUCUGCUGCAAUUUUCUGAGUUCUUUCUUCCGCAACUUCAUCAUUCGACUGGGAUGUCUAUGCGAAAUAAAUCAAACCAAGCCCACUGAUUCAUUUAACCAAACCCAAAUGCUAUAAUCUCAAACCCACAUUGUUAACUUCACCCAAAAUACGAUUGCCCAUUCCCAGCAGAUUCAAUGGUGCAACUGAACAUGAAAGCGCAGCAAAGACAGAAAGAAAGAAUCUUGCGCUAGACAUGUACAUGGAAAACCAGUCAAACAACAAACAAAUCACGAAAUUCAAGCAACCCAAGAGCUCAAGCAACCCAAAAAGAAAAAUGACCCCUUCGACAUGGCUGUAACUCUGGAUAAACAAACAGAGGAGAUUUGGAUAUAAAAAAAACAAAAGAAACUGGUUCUGCCUUUUGAAAGCAAAGGACCGGACCUGGAGAUUAACAACUGUGUAGCCAUGACAUCAAGAUCUAACCUCUAACCAUGUCUAAUGCUCUUUUAAUAUAUCUUUUAGCCAUUAAUACACAGAUCUUUGAAUCAAAAGAGAUCAGGAAAAGGAGCUAACAGAUAAAAUAUGAGUUGGCUAGAUCAAGAUGCAUUUGUUACCUCCUGAGUCUUCUCUCUCGGCUUGUUCCAGAGUCUUCCUCCCCAAGCUCUCCUUUUUCUCAGCUUUUCCGUUUCUCAGCCCGUAGCUCUCUGUUUCCUUUCCCGCCGCCACUCUCAACUGCUCUCUUUCCUUCCCAAGUUCUUAUCAUGUUCCGCCCGUAACCUUUCUUGCUCUCCACAACUUUCUCUUCCUCCCUCGUUUCUUUCUUUUCCAGCUUGGCCGCUCUCUCUCUCCCGCUUAGGUUCUCUCUCAGAAACCCCCCCGUCACUUUUCCUUCCUUCGUUCUCUCUUUCUUCUCAGUUUCGUCCCUCAGCCACCACUCCUCUUACUUCUCCAAAAUUUUUUAGCCGUCACACACUAUCCCCUCUUCUAAAACCCUUAGUUUUCUAUUUAUACCAGAUUCAAACCCUUAAAACUUCAUCUCGAUGGUUCAUAAACAAUCUCAGCUCACCGCCUCUCUCUUAGCCCUUGAUUUUGUUUCAUUUCUAGAUUCUUCUUGGUUGUUAGAUGGAAGCCAAGUAGAAUGAGGUUAGCAUGAUCCAACGGUGAAGGAAAAUCAAUGGAAAAAAGGAUGGAAAAUGGGAAGGAACUGAGCGCUGCAUUUUCUGUACUUCUCGCAUGCUGCUGUUUGGAAAAUGUUUGUUUUGUUUGCAGCUCACGCGCCUCCUCUUUUUUUUUUUUUUAAUUAACAACAAUAAUAAGGAAACAACAAAUCGAAAUAAAACAAGAACAACAAAAGUCAAAUAAAAGCUAAAAAAGAAAUUUUUUGAAUUUAAUUGAUGAUUUUUCCUUUUAUUUUACUAAUCUUCACUUAAUUUAGAUAAACGAAUAAUAAACUUUUUCUUAAAUUGAGUCUAAAAGAAAUAAAACAUAUUUUUUGUCAACAAUUUUCUUCUUCUUUUUUUUUGAAUAAAUUUUAAUGCUAAAAUGUCUCAAAUAAAAAUUAAGAGACUCAUGAGCGAAAAUGAAUAAUAAUUAUCAUUUAAAAAAUAAAAAUAAAUAAAUAAAUAAAGCUAAAUUAAAAAUUUGGUAUCUAAAAUGCUAAAAUGUCUAAAACAAAAUCAUGAGAUUAAUAAGUAAAAAUAGCUAACAAUUAUCAAUAAAGAUAAAAAUAAAUUAAAAUAAAAUGAAAUAAAUUAAAAUUUGGUGUCUACACUAUGAGAUCUAAAUUAUUUUAAUUGUUUUUUCCAUUUAUUGAUAUUUAUAUGUUUUCUACUUUUAAUUGUUAUAGCUCUUGUGUAUGAUUGAUUAGUGCGUAAUAAUUAAUUAUUCACAUAGGCUAUUGUGCUAAUUAGGGGUAAUUGAAUCCGUAAUUGUUCGAUUAUCUCCAUCCCAGUAGCAACUGGCGUAAUUGGGUUUAUGUCAGGAAAACAUACUAUUUAACUUAAACAAACUCUCGUAGCAUGUUUGUUAGUUAGGAUUGGGCCUUUCUAAAUCUUAAUGCAAACCAGAAAUUAAAUCAUAUGGUCGUACCUAGGGUUGUUUCCGGGUUAGAGAAAUAGUUAACGGUCAUAUCUUAACUAUCGAGAAAUUAAGGAAGGGUUGGUUGUUUAUCGCGUGCAUGACAACUAUAACCAAUCUAUUAAUAAAUGUUGGAAUUAUCUGUGAAUCGAUGAUCAGUGCAUGAACCAUUUCUGAAGUGUACCCUUGACUAGAGUUCUCACAAUUAUUUCUUUUAAUUAAUUAUUUUCUGCAUUUACUUUAUUUAGUUAGCAUUUAAUCUUGAAAACCCCCAUUUGUCUUGACUCGGAAGGAAAUAAAUUUUUCUCCAGUCCCUGAGGAGACGACCCUGCUUGCCAUUGUCUACUAGUUAGUGAAUUUAGUCAGAUAAUUAAUUCAGGUAUAUCGGAUUAAACAAACUCUUCGAAAACAGGGUGAAUCAAGUAACCCAUUGCAUACCUAGAGUCCCUGCUCCAGUACUUAGAAUUGAUUAUUGACUGCUUUUGGUGGUAGUUAGGUUUUAUUUAUUAUUAUUGCACAGGUUGGGUACUUGUCAAUUUUUGGCGCCAUUGUCGGGGACUAGUGCCUAAUUAAUUUGUUUCUUUUUUAUUUCAUCUUGUUUUCAUUUUUUUUAUUUUUCUCUUAAUUUUUUUUAUAUAUAGUUUAUGGCUGCUAAUAUUCCGUAUUUUGGUGAUAGAUUGGAUUUUAUUUCUAGAAGGGGUUAUGAGACUCGUACUUUUUCUAAUGAUCAAUAGGCUGUUGCAAAUUGUGGAACUUAUUUUGCCUCAGAUCAUUCAACCGACAUAUGCCAUACAUUUCAAGAUGGUCUAAGUGCUCAAAUCGAUAUUUUUGGAGAUUUUCCACCUCAAUAUCAAACGUGGUAUGACCCUUAUUCAAACGAGUAUGAACAAGGAUGGUGGGAUGAUUCCAAUUUAAUUAUGAACAAAGGCCAAUAGAUUUUCAACAGCUAGAGUCUCAAGAACCGUCAUCCAUGUCAGGUAUGUCUCUUGAAGAAAUAGUUGAAUUAAUAGCUACUAACACAUAUCAACUUCAACAGGAGACACAUCAACUUCAAUAGGAGACACAUUAAUUUCAACAGGAGAUACAUCAAUUUCAACAGGAGACACAAAGGUUGAUUAAAGAGAUGGAAGAUGGAAGGCGUGAAUUGGCAUCUACAAUAAGCAAAUUGGUUUCUCCAUUUUAUGAAGAAUUACCCUCACAAACCAACAUCGAUUUUAAAGAAGAUGAGAAUAUAAUUAUCCUGACAAGUGACAUGAAAUUGCAAGAGUCUCAAGAAGAAGAAUCUAAAGAUAAAGUUGAAAAGGAAAUUAAAGUACAAGAAAUGGAACCCCAAUAUCAAAUGGUUCAAGCGAAUGAAUCCAAUGAACAAUCUCCAAAUGCGGUAACAUCUCCUCCAUUUCUUAAUCAAUACUUUCAUAACUCUUAUUCUUCAAUUCUUGUUAGUGAGAUUGACUUUAUUAUACCAGAAGAUUUUGAAUUUCAUGACAGGAAUAAGUUAAGAGUUGCGAUGGUAAAAUAUCUCGAACCAAUAAGUGCUCGUGAUGGAGGAGUGAGUGAAGAAUUAAGGUCAUUACUUGCUUGUUUGGUGCCAUCUACUAGUCCAUUGAAAACCGUACCUCGUGUGCUCAAUGAUUACUCUAUUUACGAGGGAUAUCAGGACUACAUAAAAGAUGAAGCACUGAAACGAGCUACACGAUUUUAUCCUCCGUGAACAAGCAUGGCAACGUCUAGCCAAAGACGUUAAACAAAGACGCUGCUUGGGAGGCAACCCAAGGCCUUUGUUUUAGUUUUCUUAUGUUUUUAGAGUUUUUGUUAAGUGUUUGUUGCAUUUAGUGAUUUAUUGCUUUUGUUGUAGGGAGCUGGCAGUUAGACGUGCCCACGCCAAGUGGUCACGUUUAAGGAAGGAGGUUUUAAUUUGGCGGACAGAAGACUACUUAGUAGUUAGAUGUGCCCACGGCAAGUGGUCACGCCUAAGGAAGGCAAUUUGCAUUUGCGGGCAGAAGACUCUCCGUUGCCGUUGCCGAAAUGUUAGGAAAAAAUGUGCUAAUAGUGAAAAAUAUGGAAGUGUUUGAAUGAAUUAUUAGUCCGCUGAUUCAUGAAUUUUAAUGUUGAGAUUUUGCUUAAUAGUUGAACCAUUUGCUUAUGGAUGCUGGUUGAAUAUUUUAUAUUCUUAGAUUAGUUUGUUAUAAAUUAAAAUAGUUCUUGAUCUUAAAAGCUAACUGGAGAGAUAUUUCUUGAAAAUUGCCACUAAUACUUGACAUAUGUUUUAAUUGCAUCUUGACAAUAGAAAAUUUGAGUAAUAGCCAUUGUUUGAAUUUGAUUGCUUAAUUUGUUAUUCUCAUGCUUGAGGACAAGCAUGGUUUAGGUAUGGAGGGAAUUGAUAGGGUAUAAUUUGUUAUUAAUUUUAUGGUUAAUUUUUCUCUUUGUCCUUGCCAAAUAUUGUUUUAAUUGUCGAAAUAUACUUAUAUUUGGUAUUUGGACCUAAUUACAGGUAAUGGAGCAGAAAAGUACUAAAAAGGAUGAUUUUCUUGAGAAAAUCCCGUGCACGUGGGAAGCCUUGAGAAUCCUUGCAAAUCCGGCUCCAAGAUGUGCUAAACCAACGUCUUUCCUUUCGUGACUAGUAGUUUACUAGCAUUAGGAAACAAGAAAGAAGGAAACUUCAGUAGUUGCCUUAUCUCUUUGUUUUCCUUAUUUGGUGGAAAAACCGACAAGAUGAGAGACUAGUCAUUGUUUAGAUUGAGGAGACUUGUUUUGGGGUCUUAGUAGUUUUCUUCUCCUAUUAGGUAUCUAUCAUGUGCGCCGCAAAGGCCAUAGAGGGGAACAUUUAAUUAUCCCUUUGGCUUGGUAGUUUGAGGAAUAAUUCUUAUUCCAUCGAGUUUUCUUCCUUCGAAUUUGGAGAAGAAUGCCAUCAACUAAUAUUUCUGAAUUUUCGCAUGGAUUGUUCUCCAUUGAUGGAGAACGAACUUCUUAUUUCUAAUCAAGGGGGCAACUAAUGAUUUGGUUCGGCAAUCACUGUGAGAUCUAAACCAUUUUUAAUUGUUUCCUUCAUUUAUUGGUAUUUAUAUGUUUCCUACUUUUAAUUGUUAUAGCUCUUGUGUAUGAUUGAUUAGUGCACAAUAAUUGAUUAUUCAUAUAGGCUAUUUUGCUAAUUAGGGAUAAUUGAAUCCGUAAUUGUUCAAUUACCUCCAUCUCAGUAGCAACUGGCGUAAUUGGGUUUAUGUCAGGGAAACAUACGAUCUAAUUUAAACAAACCCUCGUAACGUGUUUAUUAGUUAGGAGUGGGCCUUUCUAAUUAUUAAUGCAAUCUAGAAAUUAAAUCCUACGGUCGUACCUAGGGUUGCUUCUGGGUUAGAGAAAUAGUUAACGGUCGUACCUUAACUAUCAAGAAAUUAAGGAAAUGUUGGUUGUUUAUCGCGUGCAUGACAACUAUAACCAAUCUAUUAAUAAAUGUUGGAAUUAUCUGUGAAUCGAUGAUCAGUGCAUGAACCAUUUUUGAAGUGUACCCUUGGCUAGAGUUCUCACAAUUAUUUCUUUUAAUUAAUUAUUUUUUGCAUUUACUUUAUUUAGUUAGCAUUUAAUCUUGAAAACCCCCAUUUGUCUUGACUCGGAAGGAAAUAAAUUUUUCUCCAGUCUCUGAGGAGACGACCCUGCUUGCCACUGUCUACUAGUUAGUGAAUUUAGUCAGAUAAUUAAUUCAGAUAUAUCGGAUUAAACAAACCCUUCGGGAACAGGGUGAAUCAAGUAACCCAUUGCAUACCUAGAGUCCCUGAUCUAGUACCUAAAAUUGAUUAUUGACUACUUUUGGUGGUAGUUAGGUUUAUUUAUUUAUUAUUAUUGCACAAGUUUGGUACCUGUCAAUAUGCACAAAGAUAGACAAAAAUUGGAUAAAAUUCGACAAAGUCAAACAAAAAAUUCCAACAAAAAUGUCUACACUUACACUUUUUCAAUAUAAUACCACUAUACUACUCCCCCCCGUCCCCCCACCUAAAUCUUAUAUUGUCCCCAAUGUAAGUAAUAAAGAAUAAAAUACAAAGCAAAAAGGGACAACGAAACUUCCCUGAUCGUCAAAGGGGGGUCUCGAGCAGCUAUGACAUAGGUGAGAUUGGUAGUGUGAAGCCAACAUGGUGGAUAUUUACUGCACCCAAACCAAAAUAGGAGAUGCACAUAGAUAGUGAAAAUGGAGAUGAUCAUGGGAGGUGGCUAGCAGCGGCAACAUGGUGUGGUAGCAAUGGUGACGAGCAGAAACGGCGCGAGCAGCGGAGUUUGAGGUCCUAAGGUUGUGGUCCUGCGAUUGGAAAAGGAAAGAAAGGAAGAAAAAGGAAAGGGAGAGAAGAAGAAAAGAGAAAUAAAGAAGAAAGAAAGAGAAGAGAGAAAGAAAGAAAGAAAAAGAAAUGAAAUGAAAUUUUUUUUUGAACCACUACGUUAGAUGUGGGCACGCCUAGCUGCCCUUGAGUCUUCUAACCAACCCAUAGAAAUUAAGAUAUUUCCCCACACCUAAAUCAUGCUUGUCCUCAAGCAUGAGAACAGCAAAUCAAGCAAUCAAAUUCAAACAAUAGCUAUUAUUCAAAUAUUCUAUUGCCAAGAUACAAUUAAAACAUAUGUCAAGUAUUAGUGGUAAUUUUCAAGAAAUAUCUCUCUAGUUAGCUUUCAAGAUCAAGGACUCUUUCAAUUUAUGACUAACUAAUUUAAGGAUAUAAAAUAUUCAACCACCAUCCAUAAGUAAAUGGUUCGACUACUAAGCAAAAUUUCAACAUUAAAAUUCAUGAAUCAACGGAUUAACAAUUCAUCCAAACACUUCCACAUUUUUCACUAUUAACACAUUUUUUUCUAAAAUAUCCCCACACUUAAUUGAUUUUUUUUUUCAGGGGGACUGCUUAGUUUUUAGCCAUUCAAGCGUUUUGACGCGAACUCCGACAUUGGCCACAUGAAAGAGCCCGGUUACUCAGUCAUUAUCGUUUAAAAACCACAUACUCAUAGCUAUCAUCGUUUUUUGACGCGAAAGUCGACACUUAUGGUGAAGACCUCCUGUUACUAAGCAAGAAUACUAGCGGAGUAUAGCCGAAUACUAUUCAUAAAUAAGCACCAAAUUUAAAUUAAAAAUCGCACAAACCCGCUUCAUUUCUUAAAUAUGGAGAACUAAAAUUAAUAGUUGAACCAAUUUGCAUAAAAAAUGCUGGACAAAUAUUUACCAUACUUAGAGAAGUUAACCAAAAGGCGCAAAAGUUACAAAAUCUCAAAUAUUCACCAAAAUAGAUACCCUUAAAUUUAACCAUGUCAUACUUAACACCUUAGAGUGUAAAAUCUUAGCAAUAAAAAAUUUUGAGACAUCUAACCAUCGUUAAUCAGGAACAAUCACACAUAUGCACAAAGAUAGGCAAAAAUUGGAUAAAAUUCGACAAAGUCAAACAAAAAAUUCCAACAAAAAUGUCUACACUUACACUUUUUCAAUAAAAUACCACUAUACUAUGUCCCCUAUAAACUUUUUGAAAUCUAAUUAAACCCAUUUCGGAGAGAUAUCCAUCUAUCAAUCAAAAUUAAAAUGGGUACAAAUGACAAGUUUGGGAGAUGUAAUAUCUCCAUUUACCAAUGAUCUUCGUCUUUCCAUAUCUCACUCCCUAAAAUCUUCCUCAUUAUUCCUCAUCUUCUUCACCAAAAUCCCAAAAUAAGGAAAAAGAGGAGGCCUGGGGGUUUUGCAGGAAUGGUGUUGGUGAAUGGGUAGUGAAGACCAUAGGUUAAUAAAUCCAUAGUUAAUAAAUAUAAUGAAGAUUUCGACUAAUGUUUUUAUUGAGAUAUAUGUUAGAACAAGGCCUUAUUCAUUAGAAGAGUUAGACAGAGAGCAAAAGGGGACAAAAGUAGGCCUGUCAACGGGUCGGGUCUAGACCCGGAUCCGGACCGGAUCCGUGAAAUUUUUGCGAGUAUGGGUAGAGAUUUAAUUCCGUUUCCCGGAUCCGGAUCCGUUUUGUCAAACAAAAAAACGGGUCGGAUACGGAAUAUAGUAUUCCGACCCGUUUUAGACCCGGAUCCGGAUAUAAAUGAAUUAAUAAUUUUAAAUAUAUAUAUUUAUCAAUAUAAUUUGAUUAGGGUGAUGUAUUUUAAUAAAGUUAAUUUGAUUUCUUUUCUUAUUUGAUUUUUUCUUUGCAUUAGUUAGAAAUUAGUUUACAAAUGUAUUUUUUUUCUCAUUUUUAUUAGAAAUUAUAAAUUUUGGUAAAUUUGUUCGGGUAGACCCGGAUCCGGAUCCGGAUCCGGGACCCGCCGAAUCCGGAUCCGGAACAUAGAAUAAAAGACCCAUCUGGUAAACGGGUCGGAUCCGGAAGACAAAAGGCAGGACAAAGGAGCAAUUUAGCUUCUUAGACAGAGACUGAAUGGAACACAUAAGGAUUGGCUGUCCGAACAUCAGUCAGAAAUGAUCAAAAGAUCUUAGUCUUCUUUUUUUUCUUUUUUCCUUUCCUUUUUACGGACAGCACGGUAGCAGCCGGUCUUUUGAAAAAAAAAAAAUUGGCAUGAGGCUACCGUGCACCUGACACUUUUAAAAAUAAAUUAUUUGCUGCCUUACAGCAUAGUAGCAGGAGGCCUUUUCUAAAAAAAAAAUUCGCCUGCAGGCUAUAAUUUUGUACCAAGACAAUGGUAGAGUUACAUUUGGCGGAUAAUUUUUUUUUUUUUUUUACCUAUCCUAAGAAAUUAGCCACUUCAGUGUGAUGAUGAGGAAACGUGUGUGUGAAAUAAUGUCUCUUGUUCAAUGUGGCCAUGCAACCAUUCCUUUGGUUUACAUUUGCCACUUGCAAUUUUUAUUAUAAAUGACAGGGCGUCAGCCUGUGCAAUAAUAAAAAUAAAACCUAACUACCACUAAAAACAAUCAAUAAUUAAUCCUAGGUAUUGGAGCAGGGACUCUAGGUGUGCAUUGGGUUACUUGAUUCACCCUGUUCCCGAAGAGUUUGCUUAAUCCGAUAUACCAGAAUUAAUUAAUUGACGAAAUUUACUAAAUAGCAAACAGUGGUAAGCAGGGUCGUCUCCUCAGGGACUGGGGAUAAUUUGUUUCUUCUAGAGUUCAGUGCAUGGGGGAUUUUUAGAGAAUAUAAAAUAAUUGAUUAACUAACUAAUAAAACAACGAAUAGAAAUUAAUAGAAAUUAAUCAAUAACCAAUACGACUCUAACCAAAGGUACAACUUUUCAGACACGGUCCAUUCACUUGAUCAUCGAUGCAAAGAUAAUCCAAUUACUCAUUACUAGAUUGGUUAUAGUUGUCACACACGCGAUGAACAACCAGCCUUUCCUUAAUUUCUCGAUAGUUAAGGUACGCCCGUUAACUAUUUCCCUAACCAAGAAAUAACCCUAGGUACGGCCAUAGGAUUUAAUUACCCGAUUGCAUUAAUAAUUAGAAAAGCCCAACCCUAACCAACAAACACGCUACGAGGGUUUGUUUAAGUUAGAUCAUACGUUUCCCUAACAUGAAACCAAUCACGCUAGUCGCCACUGGUAUUAAUCAAUUGAACAAUUACGGAUUCAAUCAAUUAAUUUGGCAUUAGAUCAUUAGGUUAAUUCGAAUAUCGGGCCCUUGACAUUCAAAUAACAUAACAGACAUAAGCAAUUAAAUCAGGAAACGUACAAAUACCAAUGAAUAAAAGAAAUAAAUAAAAUUAAUUCGAUCUCACAGAUAUUUGGAACCGCGCCUUCAAAUUGGCCUUCAACUAGAUGAGAAGCUUAGCCACGCCUCAUGAGAAAAUCUCCAAGUAAUUUUACUAAGGUCCAGGCCAUCAAAGGAACUAAGAAAGAAAAAAACUAAACUAUGCUAAAAGCUAUUGAUCAGCACCCCUAGCCUCUGUACGAUUCUCCUUUUUAAAGCCGAAAGGAAGAUGACUAAUGCUUUCCUUUAUCCCAUGGUCCCCGCACGAAUUGAGAGUCCAAUUCCAUUUCACAAGCCUUUGUACGUUUCCUUUCCAAGAGCCCAAAUGAGCUUCUUAUCUCCGUGGUCCCAACGAGAUUCCCCUAUCAAAGUACGAAAAGGUAAGGCCUCUUAAUGUUUCCUCUUUUCUCGCUUCUCAUUGCUCCUAGGACUCCUAGGAUUCAAGACACUCCUCAUCAGCAAAAGAAAUGCAGUCCGUCUCUUCCUCUUCUUGUGGGCCAGGUCGAUGGAGCCUUCUUGAAGUCUCCCACUUAUGGAGCAAGUCCCUCUUUUUUUGUAGUUUCUUGCUCUAAUCCCUGAAAUUAAGUCCAAAUACCAAAUAUAAGUAAAUAUUACUAAUUAAAACAAUAUUUGGCAAGAACAAAGAGGAAAUUAAUAAUAAAAUUACUAAUAAUUAACACCCUAUCAAUAAAACAUGAAUAUUACUCUAGCUUUUGGAACCUGAAGCAAUUAUAAUAGAACGACUUUGGCCAAGAACACUGACAAUUGUAGUUGACACUCAGAAUUUUUUUUAAAAAAAACAAACAGCAUAUGAAUUUAUAAGGAAAUAGAAUAUGAUGCUUCAAGAGUUUGAUUGAGCAUUUAUUUGGGACCGUAGGCAUCCAAUGACUGAGUCGUCCAAUUGAAGAUCAAUAUGCUUGUACAGGGAAAUCUACUUGCAAAAAUUAAUGGGAAACUUUUGACCACGGAGUCUAUUUCAUUGUCCCUUGCAUUAUUGGAAGAUACAGCAUCACAACCAUUCCUUUUUCCAUUGACCAUUUGCCACUGUGAAGUCUUGGCCUGUUGGCUUAGGAUAAGAAUCCAAGACCUCCAAUGGUUGGUUAAAAGAAAUCCAUGAAAUAUUUAUUUCUCUUGUUAUAUUAGGAAUUGGUUAGUACAAAGAUUAUUCUUAUUUGAAAAGAUAUGAAGGGGACAGUUUUAUGACUCAUUACAUAAUUGAUCAAUGACCAAUAGUGAAAAAAUAUACAAAGAAAACAAAAAAUUGCCCUUUUCAUUAAUUGAUAAUCCACAAGAAUUUAGUAGCUUAAAGUGUCUUCGGUCUGUGGUAAUAUUUGUGGUAAUAUUUGGGUAUGAAAAGAUCCUCUCACAGCUACAUUUUUAUCCAAGUUCUUAAGUGGUGAUCCCAAGUUGCUAAAGGUGUUGAAAUUGGAUGGAGCUGAAUUGGACAACAUCCCAAAGCAUGUCUUCAAACUAUUUCAUCUCAAGUAUCUUAAUCUCAAGGGAACUAGAGUUAAAAUUAUUCCAAAAUCUAUUGGGAAGCUUCAAAACCUUGAACUUAUAAAUCUGACAAGAACCAAUGUAACAGAGUUGCCUGUGGAAAUUCUAAAGCUAAGAAAACUCCGUUCUCUUUUGAUAGGCGGAUUGGGAGAUUAUUCAAAUGAGUAUGCAAUUUGGGGCUGUAAAUGUCCACUUGGAAUUGGAAAGCUUAUUUGCUUGGAAAAUCUGACUAAUAUAGAAGCAGAUAGUGAUAAAAUAGUAAGGGAGAUUGGAAACCUCAUGCAGCUGCAGCGAUUAUGGAUCACAAAGCUGAGAAGAGAAAAUGGAAAAGAGUUGCUCUCGUCCCUCUUGAGGCUGACCAACCUUCAAGAAUUGGUCAUCUCCUGUAUUGAAGAAGAUGAGACCCUUGAUCUCCAACAUUCCAUCUCUCCAAAGCUUGAAUUCCUCACAUCUCUGAGAUUGAAGGGGCGUUUAGAGAGAGUACCGCAAUGGGUGACAUCACUUCAAUCCUUGAGAACCUUACGGUUGGACAAUAGUAGGUUGAGAGAAGAUGAGAAUGUAAUAGGCUCCCUCGGACAUUUGUCCAAUCUGAUAACACUUACUCUCCGUUGUGCUUAUGAAGGGGAGACAAUAUGUUUCAAGGUUGGAGGAUUUCAAAAACUCCAGCGCUUAGAGUUUGUGCAAUUAACAAGACUGAAAUGGGUGAGAGUGGAAGAGGAAUCAAUGCCUAGUCUGAGAAAUCUGCAAUUAAUUGGUUGUAAACUGAUGCAGGAGUUGCCUACGGGCAUCCAAAACUUGACCGGACUUCAAUUUCUUGGGUUCUUUGAUAUGUCUGAUGAGCUAAUGCACAAAGUACAGAUUUGGAUAAACAAAGUGCAGAUUAUCAGAUAAUUUCUCAUAUCCCCGAAGUUUGCACUGGUUACUGGAUUGAUGGUCGGUGGGAACCCAAGUUCCUCUAAGAGAAGAGACAACUCUUGCAGUUCUCAGCGCUAUCUGAUAUGCAGUUAACUCAUCUCUUCAAAGUACGAAGUCGCUUACUAGCUUUCCCUUCUGUUUCGUUGAGUUCCCGUUUGCUUUUUCCCUUCCACUGCUUGUCAUACUUGUAUCAAAUCAUAUCAUGAAAUAUCAAUUCCUCAAAAAUGUGUAUGUGUACAUAUAUAGAUUUAGAUAUUUACCAAAAAAAGAAAAAAAUAGAUUUAGAUUUUCUUUUCAAAGUUACUUCCAUCAAACAUAGAGCAGGUCUUUAUUCCAAGUCCUAUAUAAUGCGCUGUUGGAAUAGUUUACUUAUAAUAGUUAGGGAAGAGCCAGAGAAGAGUUUUUAGAGUUUUUUCCGUUGAAUUUAAUUCAGGUUCUGAAUCGUGAGUAUUAUAAUUGGGACUGUUUAUUCAUAAAUUUGCAUGUAGUUUUUUGGUACUUAGAGUUGGAUUUAUUUAGAGUAAAGUGUUAGUUUAAAGUAAAAAUCUCUAGUAUGAUGAUGAUGGAUUGUAUUACGCCUCAGUUGUACAGCUGAGCAAAGCCCUGUGGGGUUAAGUUCCCACAUCGCUUGGGGGGGUUUGGGGGGUUUAGUAGUUAAGUGCUGCGGAGCACUUCAAAAGUUGCCGGCUUUUGAAGUGUCUUCGCAGAGUCCAUUUAUCGAAACACUCAUACAAAAAACUGUGAGUUAUGAAAGGGAAAAACCUGUCUCGGGGAGUCUGGGGGGUCUUUAUCUCUUAGCAGCGGGGCACCCUGUGGGGUUCAGUUCCCACAUCGCUUGGGGGGGUUUGGGGGGUUUAGUAGUUAAGUGCUGCGGAGCACUUCAAAAGUUCCGGCUUUUGAAGUGUCUUCGCAGAGUCCAUUUAUCGAAACACUCAUACAAAAAACUGUGAGUUAUGAAAGGGUACAGCUGAGCAAAGGAGCAAAAAGAGGGAAAGAUACCGUGAAGGACGGGUGUAUGGAAAGGGGGUCCCACACCAUGUGACUGAUGUGUAGGCUUCUGUUUAUCUCGGCCGUUGGAUUGGAUGAAAACUGGGGUCUGCGUCACAUCCAAGGGUCCAACUGUAAAGUUUUUAAAGAAACGAGUAAUUGAUUGUUUUGUUGAUGAUGGAUGCUGGUGCUCUUUCUAAUUUCUAUAGCUUUUUCUUGCCGACACAUAAUGGUAGAUCUGGUUAUUUGAUCGGCUUCGGCUGUCAAUUUUCUUCAUUUUCAUUUUAGAAAUUUUCCUCUCCAAGAUUUGAAACCAAAACUUUUUGCCAGAAAGUCACUACUAGUAGUUAGUUUUGUUCUUGUCCUAAAUGUGGGAUGGUCUCUCAAGUUUUGAUAAGUCAAAAAGAGAGUAGUAAAUAAAUAAUAAAUCGAAACACUAUAUUCAUCUCCUACAUCAAACUAUUUAAGCACAAAAAAUUAAACCUCUAUUUUUAAGUUCAAUAUAUGAUUGGGAUUGAUACACAUACAUCUCGCAUAUCUUAUAAAUUACUUCUUUGUUUUUGGGUCAAUCCACAUUUUUGUUUCUUCUGUCUUUUGCAAGUGUGGUCCAAGUAGGGCGAGUCAAGUAGUACUAAUUUUUGUACUAUAUUAGCCAAUAAUGAAAAUCAUGUAACUGAGUUUAAAGAUCAUGAAAAAUCAUAUAAUUGAGUAACUUUAACCACUAAAUUUGGGUUAAAGAACUGGGGUAAGUAAAAGGGCGGCUUGCAGGGAUGGGAUAGGCUUAGCCUCUUAUAUUGGCCAAAGAUAACCGAUAGUCUUAUAACUCAUACGGUGACACAGAUGAUCGGCAAGUAGUGAUAUAGAUAAUCUAUGAUGAUCUACAAGUAGUGACAUAGAUGAUCUACGAGUACCAAGCAAAUAUUUAAGUAUUAAUCUGUCUAACGGGGGCUCAUAGUGUACUCGUUAAGUUAUGAUAAGAUACAUUUCAGGUGUUAUAUUUUUGAUAAUAUAAUAUUAAUUUGGAAAAACAAAUAAAUAUAAGGGGUAGUAGGCAAGAUUAAAUAGAAAAAUUAUAUAAAUAUAAAAGAGAAUAAUAAUUGUUAGUAUAUAUAUAUAUAUAUAUGGUAGUUUAGGUGGAUGCUACGUGUCGUUCGAAAAACCCUAAUAUAGGACUUGGAAUAAACGAAAUAGAGCAGGUCUUUAUUAAGAGGGCAGUCUUCAUUAAGUUAAUACUGAAGUGUACGAAGCAUAAUAGAUGGAGUUAAUGAAAUUAGUGAAGCUUCGAUAACACCUUUUCAAAGUCCAAACUUGAAGGUUCAGUUGCAUUUUUUUUCCCUUCUAAAUUCUGGUUGUAUGCAUAUUUUUCACAAAUGCUUGACUGUAGAAUAUAUAUGAUUUUAUUCUUCAGCAAGUUUCUCAAUUGUGGAUUUGCAAAUGAAACAAUUUUUCAAAAAAAAUAAGGGAUAUGUCAAUAGAAAACAUGCAAAAUAAUAUCAUAAAACUGUUUAAACUUAUUUACAACUUAUUCCUUUCUAAUGAAGUAAAAUUACAGUCACCUUACUCAAAGGAAAUUAUAAUACUUUUCUCUAUCACACAAAAAGUUGCAAUCAAGAAACAUAAUAAUAAAAUAAUAAUAAGACCACCGACUUGAAAAGAGAAAUAUAGAAAACAAAACAAAACAAAACCCAAAGGGAAAAAAGAAGGAAGAAAGUGAAGGGUUUCAGGUAGACGAUCAUGUUCUUGUAUCAAAUUUUGCCAUGAUUUAUCCAUUUUUUGUUGGCAAUUUAAAUGUAGUAUGAUGUGCUUGUUAUCAUAUGCCAAAUUCGUACACUUCAAGAUUGUAAGAAUUUGAUUGUCAUUCUCAUGACAAUCUCAAGAUUGUCUUUCCAUGCCAACUUUCUCCUCUGCCGCUGGUUUUAUUUAGCCUCAUAGCUAUAAAUUUUAGAGACAAUUAAUUGGAACAACACAAAAUGGAAUUCUAAAUUACCCAAGAAUGUAUUGUUGGAUUGUCUGUGAAAGAUACCUUUUUUUUUCCCAACUUAGUAAACCAAAAUUUCAUCUAUGUCAUUCAAAGCAUAAAUGGAUAUUUAUUCUUAUUUAGAAAAUGCACGCGCGCGCUCGAAACUUGUCUGAAUUAUGAUCAACUAAGAUUAGCUAUUUUGAUUUUAUGAAAUCAAAGUAUAAUGAAUAAAUAAUAACAUUACAAUUAAAAAAAAAGCAAAUUUCAUGGAAUUAAAAGAUGAUAAACCAAAAUUGAUGGAUUGACAUUGCCCGAACUAAGGUUUGAUUGAGUAAGGUGUCCUCAUGGCUUCUACUUUUUAAUCCUCCUAACAAUUAUUGCUACAUUUUAAUUGUCAUCGAGGAUUUUUCUUAGUUAUUUUAUGAAAUGUAAGGGAUAAAAAAAUUCAUUUUAUUAAAUGUGAAGGACUAUCAAUUAGAUUAUGUGAAAUAUGAUUUGACAAUUUUUUCCCUCAAACAUGAUCACGUGCAGGGCACGUGGUGAAUUCCGAAAAAAAAUUAGUUGGAAACCUAGGUAGGGACAAAAUUUAACUGAUAUGAAUUUAUAAAAGACGUAAAAUUACUUUUUUAGAAUGAGAGACGGAAAAAAUCAUUUUACAAAAAUGUGAGUAACGAUUUCAACGAUUUUCCGUAUCAAUUAUAUUAAUUGCAUUGCCCGGAUUCGUUGUACCCAAAUGCCUAUGAGUACAAGCUUCUACCAGUAUACGAUGAAUAUAUAAAAAGAAAAAUAAUGUUGUUCUUUUCAUUUUUUUCCUAGCACAUUGUAAUGUUUCCUAUAUAUAUAAAAAGGAGUUUGUAAGUGAUUGUUGAAAAAUUUUCAUCUGUUAUCUUUAGAGAUAAUUUAGGUAGGAAAAAAAUCAAAUACAAGUGAUUAAGCCAAACGUGCAACAUUAUAAUGUAUAGUUGAGUUGGGUUUGACUAUUGUGUCCUCCCAUUUACAAUUGGCUUAUAUUCCACGUGAUUAUCAAGCAUUUAAGUGGUGUUUAAACCACUUACAAAUGUAAUUGCAAUCCUCUCCAUCUUCUUUUAUAAUUGUUGGGUAACUUUUAUAACUACAAUAAUAGAGGGUCUUAAUGCUAAAGAUGGUUGGUUCAGGAAGCACUUAAUAAUCAACAUGAUUGAUUUUGGUUCAUAUUUUCAAUCCAUUACAAGUAUAAUUGUAGUGCUCUUCAACUUGAUAAUAAUUGAGGCUUUAAAUACUGAAGAAUGUUGCUUCAAGUGCAUGUGCUCAAUUUUUUGUUGCGGGUGUUUAGAUAGGUAUGCUCAUUUACUUUUUCUCUUUCUGGAGUUUUGGUUGUUUAGCUAAUAUAAUAAAAACUGUGAGUUUUCUACUGCAAUAUUUUCUCAAUAGCUAUUGUGUGAAUAUGGAAAUUUCUUUAUGGAAUACUUGAUACAUACAUAUGAAUAUCCAUAGGAAACUUUUUAUAUCUUUUAACUAUAUUUCCAAAAUCCGAUGUUCGUGGCUGUAGGUGGUUAAACUGUGACUAAAGAUUAUCUAUUGACUACAAUUUUAUGACCAAGGUAGGACCUAAAUUUAACCUUAUAGUUUAAGUAUGUUAAUUGUUGAUUGAAUAUGGCUAUGAUUAUGUUAUAAUGGUAUAGGGACAAGGAUAAUGAUAUUUUUGUUAUUGUUAUUAUGGUAUGGUGUGAUUAUCUACUACAAUCCUAUUUCUUUUACUUAUAAAUUUUUUUCCUUUAUAAGUUUGUUGAUUUGGCCAAUUUACUUAUAAUUUCAUGCACUUCAAUUGAUUCAAUUAAACUAAUUAGCAUGCAGUUCUAAUUAAAUCAAUUAUCGCAUAGGUCAAAACUCCUAUGCUUAGCGCGGCUUUCCCCCUAGUAGUACUAAGCAUAGUUAUUGAACCCGGCCAGCCCGGCGAUCGAACCGGUGAACCGGACAUUGCACCGGAUUUCGUAUAAAAAUUUUAUUCCUUUGCUGGAACUUGAACCAUUUUAUUCCUUUGCUGGAACUUAAACCUUGGACCUUUGGUCCUUGCAGCAAGGCGCACACCACCAAGCUACUUCACCAUUUGUUGAUUAAGUAGCUUACUCAUAAUAUAUAAACGUUUUGUCAACUUUAUCUUUUUUUUUAUUUCUCUAAAACAAAUUUAUUUGGAAUCUUUUAAUAAAAAUUUAUGACCCCCAAACUCUAUAAGUUAUAAAAUGGACUUAAAAAAUGACAUAUUACAUAAUUCAUUUUAAAGACAAAUAUUAUUUUUAAUAAUUUUUUGCACUUAAAAUUCAUAAAUAAGUUAGAUAAUUACACUAAACAUAGAUAAAAUUUUAUACUUGAAAUUUGGUAUAUUACUAAAUAACUUAAUAUUGUAUUGAUUCUUAUAUGAAUUAAUUAUUUUAUAGCAAAUUAAAUUAUAUGAGCAUUUGCUAUGACAUUAUUUCUUAUAAUUUAUAUCAUAUAUCUUAUAUCAAAAAUUAUAAAAUAUAAUAUUUAAAUAUAUUUAGUGAUCCACCGGUACAACCACUCACCCACUGGUUAAACUAGUAAUCCGUUGACCCACCUCGUUCGCCGAGUUCCCUCCUGGGUUGGGUUUAAUAACUAUGGUACUAAGUUUAUGCUCUUCUUUUUUUUUUGUCUUAACGGCACAUGUCUAACCUACUCCUACUCU